UUUAUGGAGAGUUUGAUCCUGGCUCAGGAUGAACGCUGGCGGCGUGCCUAACACAUGCAAGUCGAGCGAACGGACGAGAAGCUUGCUUCUCUGAUGUUAGCGGCGGACGGGUGAGUAACACGUGGAUAACCUACCUAUAAGACUGGGAUAACUUCGGGAAACCGGAGCUAAUACCGGAUAAUAUUUUGAACCGCAUGGUUCAAAAGUGAAAGACGGUCUUGCUGUCACUUAUAGAUGGAUCCGCGCUGCAUUAGCUAGUUGGUAAGGUAACGGCUUACCAAGGCAACGAUGCAUAGCCGACCUGAGAGGGUGAUCGGCCACACUGGAACUGAGACACGGUCCAGACUCCUACGGGAGGCAGCAGUAGGGAAUCUUCCGCAAUGGGCGAAAGCCUGACGGAGCAACGCCGCGUGAGUGAUG
RNAcentral lists this ribosomal RNA (420 nucleotides) under Staphylococcus aureus. RNAcentral's name for it is "bacterial SSU rRNA". It matches the Rfam family "Bacterial small subunit ribosomal RNA", at positions 1 to 410 of the family's 1533-position model. The record is from RNAcentral. Lineage: Bacteria; Bacillati; Bacillota; Bacilli; Caryophanales; Staphylococcaceae.